Molecule: ribosomal RNA, 305 nt
Filed under: uncultured bacterium
Lineage: Bacteria
Description: bacterial SSU rRNA
Rfam family: Bacterial small subunit ribosomal RNA
Source: RNAcentral
UACCUACGGGAGGCAGCAGUGGGGAAUAUUGCACAAUGGGGGGAACCCUGAUGCAGCGACGCCGCGUGAGUGAAGAAGUAUCUCGGUACGUAAAGCUCUAUCAGCAGGGAAGAAAAUGACGGUACCUGACUAAGAAGCCCCGGCUAACUACGUGCCAGCAGCCGCGGUAAUACGUAGGGGGCAAGCGUUAUCCGGAUUUACUGGGUGUAAAGGGAGCGUAGACGGCAGUGCAAGUCUGAAGUGAAAGGCAAGGGCUCAACCCUUGGACUGCUUUGGAAACUGUGCUGCUGGAGUGUCGGAGAGGC